Molecule: ribosomal RNA, 2895 nt
Filed under: Escherichia coli
Lineage: Bacteria; Pseudomonadati; Pseudomonadota; Gammaproteobacteria; Enterobacterales; Enterobacteriaceae
Description: bacterial LSU rRNA
Rfam family: Bacterial large subunit ribosomal RNA
Source: RNAcentral
UUAAGCGACUAAGCGUACACGGUGGAUGCCCUGGCAGUCAGAGGCGAUGAAGGACGUGCUAAUCUGCGAUAAGCGUCGGUAAGGUGAUAUGAACCGUUAUAACCGGCGAUUUCCGAAUGGGGAAACCCAGUGUGAUUCGUCACACUAUCAUUAACUGAAUCCAUAGGUUAAUGAGGCGAACCGGGGGAACUGAAACAUCUAAGUACCCCGAGGAAAAGAAAUCAACCGAGAUUCCCCCAGUAGCGGCGAGCGAACGGGGAGCAGCCCAGAGCCUGAAUCAGUGUGUGUGUUAGUGGAAGCGUCUGGAAAGGCGCGCGAUACAGGGUGACAGCCCCGUACACAAAAAUGCACAUGCUGUGAGCUCGAUGAGUAGGGCGGGACACGUGGUAUCCUGUCUGAAUAUGGGGGGACCAUCCUCCAAGGCUAAAUACUCCUGACUGACCGAUAGUGAACCAGUACCGUGAGGGAAAGGCGAAAAGAACCCCGGCGAGGGGAGUGAAAAAGAACCUGAAACCGUGUACGUACAAGCAGUGGGAGCACGCUUAGGCGUGUGACUGCGUACCUUUUGUAUAAUGGGUCAGCGACUUAUAUUCUGUAGCAAGGUUAACCGAAUAGGGGAGCCGAAGGGAAACCGAGUCUUAACUGGGCGUUAAGUUGCAGGGUAUAGACCCGAAACCCGGUGAUCAGCCAUGGGCAGGUUGAAGGUUGGGUAACACUAACUGGAGGACCGAACCGACUAAUGUUGAAAAAUUAGCGGAUGACUUGUGGCUGGGGUGAAAGGCCAAUCAAACCGGGAGAUAGCUGGUUCUCCCGAAAGCUAUUUAGGUAGCGCCUCGUGAAUUCAUCUCCGGGGGUAGAGCACUGUUUCGGCAAGGGGGUCAUCCCGACUUACCAACCCGAUGCAAACUGCGAAUACCGGAGAAUGUUAUCACGGGAGACACACGGCGGGUGCUAACGUCCGUCGUGAAGAGGGAAACAACCCAGACCGCCAGCUAAGGUCCCAAAGUCAUGGUUAAGUGGGAAACGAUGUGGGAAGGCCCAGACAGCCAGGAUGUUGGCUUAGAAGCAGCCAUCAUUUAAAGAAAGCGUAAUAGCUCACUGGUCGAGUCGGCCUGCGCGGAAGAUGUAACGGGGCUAAACCAUGCACCGAAGCUGCGGCAGCGACGCUUAUGCGUUGUUGGGUAGGGGAGCGUUCUGUAAGCCUGUGAAGGUGUGCUGUGAGGCAUGCUGGAGGUAUCAGAAGUGCGAAUGCUGACAUAAGUAACGAUAAAGCGGGUGAAAAGCCCGCUCGCCGGAAGACCAAGGGUUCCUGUCCAACGUUAAUCGGGGCAGGGUGAGUCGACCCCUAAGGCGAGGCCGAAAGGCGUAGUCGAUGGGAAACAGGUUAAUAUUCCUGUACUUGGUGUUACUGCGAAGGGGGGACGGAGAAGGCUAUGUUGGCCGGGCGACGGUUGUCCCGGUUUAAGCGUGUAGGCUGGUUUUCCAGGCAAAUCCGGAAAAUCAAGGCUGAGGCGUGAUGACGAGGCACUACGGUGCUGAAGCAACAAAUGCCCUGCUUCCAGGAAAAGCCUCUAAGCAUCAGGUAACAUCAAAUCGUACCCCAAACCGACACAGGUGGUCAGGUAGAGAAUACCAAGGCGCUUGAGAGAACUCGGGUGAAGGAACUAGGCAAAAUGGUGCCGUAACUUCGGGAGAAGGCACGCUGAUAUGUAGGUGAAGUCCCUCGCGGAUGGAGCUGAAAUCAGUCGAAGAUACCAGCUGGCUGCAACUGUUUAUUAAAAACACAGCACUGUGCAAACACGAAAGUGGACGUAUACGGUGUGACGCCUGCCCGGUGCCGGAAGGUUAAUUGAUGGGGUCAGCGCAAGCGAAGCUCUUGAUCGAAGCCCCGGUAAACGGCGGCCGUAACUAUAACGGUCCUAAGGUAGCGAAAUUCCUUGUCGGGUAAGUUCCGACCUGCACGAAUGGCGUAAUGAUGGCCAGGCUGUCUCCACCCGAGACUCAGUGAAAUUGAACUCGCUGUGAAGAUGCAGUGUACCCGCGGCAAGACGGAAAGACCCCGUGAACCUUUACUAUAGCUUGACACUGAACAUUGAGCCUUGAUGUGUAGGAUAGGUGGGAGGCUUAGAAGUGUGGACGCCAGUCUGCAUGGAGCCGACCUUGAAAUACCACCCUUUAAUGUUUGAUGUUCUAACGUUGACCCGUAAUCCGGGUUGCGGACAGUGUCUGGUGGGUAGUUUGACUGGGGCGGUCUCCUCCUAAAGAGUAACGGAGGAGCACGAAGGUUGGCUAAUCCUGGUCGGACAUCAGGAGGUUAGUGCAAUGGCAUAAGCCAGCUUGACUGCGAGCGUGACGGCGCGAGCAGGUGCGAAAGCAGGUCAUAGUGAUCCGGUGGUUCUGAAUGGAAGGGCCAUCGCUCAACGGAUAAAAGGUACUCCGGGGAUAACAGGCUGAUACCGCCCAAGAGUUCAUAUCGACGGCGGUGUUUGGCACCUCGAUGUCGGCUCAUCACAUCCGGGCUGAAGUAGGUCCCAAGGGUAUGGCUGUUCGCCAUUUAAAGUGGUACGCGAGCUGGGUUUAGAACGUCGUGAGACAGUUCGGUCCCUAUUCGCCGUGGGCGCUGGAGAACUGAGGGGGCUGCUCCUAGUACGAGAGGACCGGAGUGGACGCAUCACUGGUGUUCGGGUUGUCAUGCCAAUGGCACUGCCCGGUAGCUAAAUGCGGAAGAGAUAAGUGCUGAAAGCAUCUAAGCACGAAACUUGCCCCGAGAUGAGUUCUCCCUGACUCCUUGAGAGUCCUGAAGGAACGUUGAAGACGACGACGUUGAUAGGCCGGGUGUGUAAGCGCAGCGAUGCGUUGAGCUAACCGGUACUAAUGAACCGUGAGGCUUAACCU